RNAcentral lists this long non-coding RNA (5008 nucleotides) under Aquilegia coerulea. RNAcentral's name for it is "long non-coding RNA (ACOE_LNC001319)". The record is from RNAcentral. Lineage: Eukaryota; Viridiplantae; Streptophyta; Magnoliopsida; Ranunculales; Ranunculaceae.
AUGUAUAUAUACUUUGUAUAGUGAUGAUUAAUCUGCCAUGGCAAUCUGUGAUUUGAUAAGAAUAUUAAAACAAUAUCUUGUUCUAAUUCUCAUGCUUUACUGUGAGAUUCUCUUGUACAAGAUACACACAGUGUGGGCUAAGGUAGAAGAAAUUCCAAUAAAACAGUUCCACGAGGACUGGCAUUGAUCAAUAAUCAUUUGUCUUGAUUAUUCUUCUUGUUUGUCUUUUAUGUUGUUUUCUUCUCAACUUACAAUUAUUAACACACGUGAAAAGGUUUUUUCACCUCUGUCAACUUUUAUUCUCUUUCUUAUCUAGCAGUUAAAAAGCUACCCUUCAGCCUUCACACACUCUUUAUCUGCAUAUCUUUGAUGAUGAACUAGGUUUAUGACUUUUAUCAUCUCUGUUUCAGACUACAGAGGUAAUUGAUGAAGAAAACUCAGUGAACUGCAUGCUUCUGCGGGUAGCCAAAUGCGCGAUUUUCACAUGUACACAGGUUUGUUAUAUAUAUAUAUAAAGUCGGUUAAUAUAAACCAAUUGAAAUUUGAAAAGGAAAUGUAGGUGAAGUGAUACCUUUAAAUAACUAGAAAUCUGAUCUAAACAGUUUAGUGUGUAUAAGCUAUGGUGAUAAGAGGUAUGUUUUAAGGUGGUAGUUACCAAGUUUCCAAGCUCAAUAAUGUCCAUGAACAUGCAUGAGAAUUGAGAUGAUAUCCAGUUCAUAUUGUCAGGCAAGUUGAUGGAUAUGUGUAUAUCACGGGUUCUGAUCGAAGCUUAAUCAAAGAGUUCAUCAUAGCGUAGUAGCUUUACCAUAUAUGAGCCUGUAAACUUGGUCCUAUGUCACAGUAUUGUAUCACAUUAUUUGGCUUGCUUCACCUUUAUUGCUAAAUUAUGCCUGCAUGAAAGUCAGUAAAGGAUCAUGUAAAAGUGGAUGCCCAUGUCCCAUGUCUUUUUCAUGUCCAAAAUGUUCUAUGUUUGUAGUGCAGUAGUGCUCAUUUUGUGAUUCAGAUUCAGAGUUGAUUUGGCAAAAACAGACUCAUAAAGUAAUAAAUGAAUACAAAGAAUCCCCUUACAGGAAAUUGAGUACUGAGAGAUGCAUAUAGUUUUUUCCUACCACUCAGCUCCUUUUACUAUGGAGCAUAUCUUACAUGCCUCCGAAGAAAUUUUAAUAUUUGUAUCUCCUCCUUCGAUCGAUCUUGUAUAAAGACCAAAAAUUGGUACAUGCAGCCUUGCAGAGUUGCAGACAUAAUCAUUGAAGCUAUAUUUUUGGGCUAAUUUGUCCAUUUUAAGAGCCCAAUACUCCACCUGCUGGCAUCGGCGUCAACAGGCCCAACAAUCUGUACUCUGUAUAGACCCACAGACCACAGAAAGAUAAGCCUGUAAGAGUUGUGCCACAUAAUUAUUGUUCGGGCCACUGCGUAUAAGGCCCGCUGACACUAUGUUGUUGACAAUUUCUUGACAGUAUGAGUUAGUUCACUGGUGACUGGGUUCCUUAUUCCUAAUAGAUUUUGGAAACUUAGGGAGCUAUUAGAGCUAAUAUAGAGUUGGGGUUAAUUGCCCUCCUUAGUGGGCACAUCAGGUAAAUGAUGUCAUUCAAUUCCCUCCAAUAGGGAAGCUGACUAACUACUUCAUAUGCUACUUAUAUCUCACUAUGCAUCAUGUAGAGGUAAUCUACCAAGCUAGGUAGCUAAUAGGAUCUCCUACAGUAUUCAAAUUCCAAAUGGUGUGAAGUUCUGUAAGUUCAGAAAUCAAUCAAUCACUCUAUGAUUGUUAUUGUCAUUAACAUAUGUUAGAGAAUUAUUUGAAGACUUGAAGUCAUGGUCCCAAGUCUAAGGACAAUAACUCUCACAACUUUCCCGGCCAACUCUAUAAAGGGUUAUAUAUCAUGCCAGUAGAGUAGCCCAAGGAGUGUGCGCUACUUAAUUACUCUGCAAAUGAGAGCAAUUUGUACCUUCGUUCAUACUAAUUGGUGCCGUAGAACAACAUAACACACCCCUUGUCAGAAAAACUUAAUUACAAUCUCAAAGAUACACAUUCAAGUAGGGCCAAUGUGGCAAAAAAGUCGUAAAACACCAUUCAAAACAUCACUUGCUUAUCUUAGAGAACACAGUGGAUCAGUAAUUGGUAAUAAACGUUCCAAACUACACCUACCCUGCUAAUACAUAUUGAACAUUCUUCAAUGGCAAAAACAUUACCUUGCUCUUCUGAAUGAUUACUCAAACCAAUAGAUAGUAACUGCUGAAUGAAUAUGUUUAUUAUCUGCUUGAAAGUUGAAAUGCUUCUCAUUUUUGUCCAAACAAAAAAAUCACAUUGAUAUGAAUAGUUUUGAAAGCCAAGCCAGCUAGGCUUAAUUAAUAAAACUUGUCUGUACUAUAUACAAAGAGUACAAUAGUACAAUACAAAGUUUCUUUCAUUUUUGUUUGUAUUUAAAGUAUAUUUGUAUCAGCAAUUGAUUUGCGUGGUGAUACAGUAUAACAAUUCCAUGCAUGUGAAGCUCUCAAUAUAGCUCUUGUACAUUCGCACUUUUAUCAUAAAUUCUCAUAAUGCUUAUCACCUUCUAUAAAGAAGGCAAGAAAACACACAAGGACAUGGAUAACAAGGACCUUACUGAUCAGAAAAAAAACUAAAUGUAUCCAGCACUUAUUGUAGAAGAAUUGGGCUCACAUCCUAGCUGUCCUUUACCUCUCACAUGGACAAAACUAAGUUUAAGAUCAAACAUUUACAUUUCUGGCAUCUUAGUUUAACCUAAUUUUACAAAGCUUUUUAAAGUAACAUUCAGUGGUGCUUACCUUUGCUUGUUGUCCAAACAAUUCUGGCAUUGGCAACUCUAUAUGCAUAUAUGUUGUAUCAUUUGUAUCUUUGUUUCUUUCUUUUUCAUAAAAGAUUCACCAAACACCACUUUUCCACCACUUGAAUACACUAAGAUUUUCAACAAUUUUAACCCAAAAGAAGUAUGGUAAACAUUUUCAAAAACACAACCCUGUUUCUUGCCAAAAUUUACCAAACCAAGAUUUACAAAAAGAUAUUAGAAUACAUUCAACUAUGGUAGUAAAGCGAAUAAUGAGACAAUAUGGUUCUUAGUACAAAACGAAGGAUCUUAACAUAAGUAAAUAAGUGGACACAAUUGAAACUUGUGCAGUUGCUUACUUGGUAUGAAAGUGACUUGAUAUACUGUUGCUUCCUCCAUGUACAGUGUCUCCAGCCUUCUUCAUCAAGUACAAAUACAGUUAUUCUAAGUGAUAUAACAUUAGUAAAUUUAUGUUUCACACCAUAGUGUUUCUAAAAAGAAAAUUCUAUUUAAAGAGGAACCCAUACUCUUACUUUGUGACUUAGUGCAUGGGCAGAUUCUAGAAAUAGAGAAUGAUGAAAUCAUGAUAUUUCAUGGUGUCAGAUCUCAUGAGUUUGAAAUCAUACAGUGUAUUGCCAACAAAAAGAAAUUUAACUUAAUGUAAUAAGAUCAUUCAGGAUAUAGACAAGAUAAUGUAAGAAAGUUAAACAUGGGGACAUAUGUUUAUAGAUCUAUAACAAUUCAAAUAAAAACAGGCAUCAACAUCAUGCAAUAGUAUUCUUCCAUCACCAAAGAACUAUACAAUAGAAGAUAUUACUUUAUGUGGCCAUUCUUUGCUUGGAAGCAUUCUUGGAGAAGACAGCGGUGGUAGACAUUAUAUAAUUUUCAUAUAUUUUCAAAUCUACCAUAUCAUAUAUAUAGUUGUUUUUAUGUAUAAGUAGAAAAAGAAAGAGUGUAGGGUCAUAUGAGAUAAUUAUGCACAAUAUAGAUUAGUUGCUUUCAAUACUUUGAUAUAUAAAAACAUACAUAAAAGAUAGAGCAUCAAAAACCUACAUAUAUAUACAAGUAAUUUAAACUUGAUUAGCCCUACCAUUGGUCACUUUAAUAAUGCAGCUGAACCUGGUUUAUAUAUUGGAAUAAAAAGACCUACAAAUAUAAAUAUCCCAAACCACUGCAGCAAAGGGUAACCCUUCAGUAAAUAUGAAAGCAAAAAACCCAAUAAAUGAGUAGAAAUAUAAAGCAAAAAAACUUGAAUCAGACUUCAAUUCUUCAUUCUCAUAAAUCAUUAAAAAGAAAAAUGAACCACUAAACUAAGACACAACAAAAAACUUAGCUAUUAGCAAAAAUAGAUAGGUAAAUUUCAUGGAAGCCCUGAUAUAAAGUUGAUGACAAUGGUCUAAUUUUCCAAGAAACUGAUUAUUGAUUAGAAUAUUUGGUGCAAAUUUAUCAUUUAAAUCAACCAAAAAUUACAAAAAUUCACAAUUACAAAAUUGUAGUUCAGUAAAUUGACUGCAUCAACCAACAGAGUAUCCAAUUGGUUUUGAUGAAAACUGCAUACCAAUGAGGUAACAUCUAUAUCCAUUGAAUAUAUACUACUAGGUAGUACAAUGUAGUCAAUAAAAUUAUGAAUUUAAAACUUUUGAUCCACAACCUGAACAAACCAGAAAAAACCCCCAAUUCCAAACACUAACAGGACUAGUAGCAUUAAUAUCAAAAUUCAAAAAAAACAUUAAAAGAAAAAUCAAGGAAGCUUGUGUGAUAAGGAAACAGAUCUAUAUAUCUAUAACUAGUAUAGAAUUGCAUAAGUGUGAAAGACAUCAAAUGAUCUAUCAUUAGAUCUAAUUGCAACAAUCAAAUGAUCAAAGGAUCUUACUCUUUAAAAAUGUAACCAGAUUCUAUCUGUAGUUUCCCACAGCUUUAUUGAACCGCAAAGGCGAUAUACCACCAUGGCACCAUGUACUUGAAGAACAAGCUUAAUUUUAUCUGUAAUUAGAUUAGAUUACCAUGCAGUUCAAGAAAGCUGUGGAAGAUUACAAAGAGGAUCAUUUGAAGACAUACCAUAAGUUCAAAUCUAUAAAAACAGCAAAAUGAACAAGAAGAAGAAAAAGAAGAAGAAAGACAGAAGAAGAAGAGUGGUUGGGUUGAGAGAAGGAGAAAAGAACAAGUAUUUAUAGAAGAAUUCCAGAAGGUUUUUUUUUUACUCCAAUCCCAAGAAGAAUAUUAUG